Molecule: microRNA precursor, 68 nt
Filed under: Dulcicalothrix desertica PCC 7102
Lineage: Bacteria; Bacillati; Cyanobacteriota; Cyanophyceae; Nostocales; Calotrichaceae
Description: Calothrix desertica PCC 7102 mir-103/107 microRNA precursor
Source: RNAcentral
UCGGGCGCCUAGCGGAAUACAAGUACUACGAUAUGGAUCAAGCAGCAUUGCGCGCGCUUGGCGUGUUU